This is a long non-coding RNA of Heterocephalus glaber (naked mole-rat), 475 nucleotides long. NCBI's taxonomy places the organism in Eukaryota, Metazoa, Chordata, Mammalia, Rodentia, Bathyergidae. The record is from Ensembl.
GCGAGGGCCGCACUUCCGCUCGCUCCCGGCGUUCCGUGCGCCCAAGGGUGCGAGGGCGCGGCCUGGGGGCGACUUCUGGAGCUCAAGCCUGGACCUCGAGGGCUUCUCCACAGCUGCGAAGGCCGGAGAGGCGAGGCACAGGCAGGUUUGGAAUGUCAUCUUAAAAGCCCCAGAGCCAUGGAAGAGAAAAUGGAGAAAUGCCAAGCCAAGUUAAGAAUUUGCUGUUAGAAAAAUGGCCCAGAGAGAGUGACCAGAGUUCAAGAAGGGGCAGGGGAGUGCAGAGGGCAUUUCCACUCUCACACCUACAGAGUUUCACUAUGUAGUUCAGGCUACCUUUGAACUCACUGUGAAGACCAGACUUGCCUCGAACUUGUGGUGAUCCUCCUGCCUCAGACUCCCAGAGUGCUGGGAUUACAGGUGUGUGCCACCAUGACCAACUAUAGAUCUUGCUAAGAGCAGCAAGCAGUACUCAUAC